Molecule: ribosomal RNA, 773 nt
Filed under: uncultured Neocallimastigales
Lineage: Eukaryota; Fungi; Neocallimastigomycota; Neocallimastigomycetes; Neocallimastigales
Description: partial large subunit ribosomal RNA
Rfam family: Eukaryotic large subunit ribosomal RNA
Source: RNAcentral
ACUAGAGUAGCACUCGCAUAUCAAUAAGCGGAGGAAAAGAAACUAACAAGGAUUCCCCUAGUAACGGCGAGUGAAGCGGGAAGAGCUCAAAUUUGAAAUCUUAAAGGGUUUCCCUUUACGAAUUGUAGUUUAAAGAAGUGUUUUCUGUUGAGGUUUUGGUAAAAGUUCUUUGGAAUAGGACAUCAUAGAGGGUGAGGAUCCCGUAUUUGACCUUUACUUUCAACUUUGUGAUACACUUUCAGAGAGUCGGAUUGUUUGGGAAUGCAGUCCAAAAUGGGUGGUAAAUUUCAUCUAAAGCUAAAUAUUGGCGAGAGACCGAUAGCGAACAAGUACCGUGAGGGAAAGAUGAAAAGAACUUUGAAAAGAGAGUUAAACAGUACGUGAAAUUGUCAAAAGGGAAGCGUUUGACACCAGUGUUGUUUUUCUGAAAAUCAAUUAAAGAACUGUUUAUGCUAAGCUGUUUAGACUUUAUCAGCUAUCUGUUUAGUUUUGAGCUUUUCUUUAAUGCACUUUUCAGUUAACAAGUCAACAUCAAUUUCUUUUGCUGUAAAAAAGCUUGAGGAAGGUGGCUUGAGAUUCGUCUUAAGUGUUUAUAGCCUCUUGCCUAUGCAGUCGGAGAGAUUGAGGUCUGCAGCGUAGAUCCUUCGGGGCUGAAUGCAUUUGUGCUAAGUUAUAGCAUUUUAUAGACAACUUGUUGACUAUGAUUUGUCUUGUAGCUUACUCGCUUAUGUUAUUUUACCUACGCUUAGGAUGUUGAGCGCAUGUCUCUCUCU